AGUUUGCGCGCGUGGGAAGGGUGAGGGAAACAUCGGUAAGGUUCGGCUCGAGCGAAAGCGAGAGAACGUUGCCAACGGCAACGGCCCGUAGGAGUGAGGGCGAAGCGACGGAGUAAUCCUUCCCCACCACCA
Molecule: small RNA, 132 nt
Filed under: Salmonella enterica subsp. enterica
Lineage: Bacteria; Pseudomonadati; Pseudomonadota; Gammaproteobacteria; Enterobacterales; Enterobacteriaceae
Description: RtT sRNA
Rfam family: RtT RNA
About the family: This family represents a bacterial cis-regulatory element known as RtT RNA.
Source: RNAcentral